UACGUAGGGUGCGAGCGUUAAUCGGAAUUACUGGGCGUAAAGCGUGCGCAGGCGGUUUUGUAAGCCAGAUGUGAAAUCCCCGGGCUUAACCUGGGAAUGGCAUUUGGGACUGCAAGGCUGGAGUGUGGCAGAGGAGACUGGAAUUCCUGGUGUAGCGGUGAAAUGCGCAGAUAUCAGGAGGAACACCGAUGGCGAAGGCAGGUCUCUGGGCCACUACUGACGCUGAGGAGCGAAAGCGUGGGGAGCGAACAGG
Molecule: ribosomal RNA, 253 nt
Filed under: uncultured bacterium
Lineage: Bacteria
Description: partial 16S ribosomal RNA
Rfam family: Bacterial small subunit ribosomal RNA
Source: RNAcentral